UGAAGCUGGAAUUGCUAGUAAUGGCAGGUCAGCAUACUGCCGUGAAUACGUUCCCGGGCCUUGUACACACCGCCCGUCACACCAUGGGAGUCGGUAACACCCGAAGCCAAUAGUCUAACCGCCAAGGAGGACGUUGUCGAAGGUGGGAUUGAUGACUGGGGUGAAGUCGUAACAAGGUAAC
This 181-nucleotide ribosomal RNA is filed under the name uncultured bacterium. RNAcentral describes it as "partial 16S ribosomal RNA". It matches the Rfam family "Bacterial small subunit ribosomal RNA", at positions 1321 to 1500 of the family's 1533-position model. The record is from RNAcentral.